AUGAAGCCCUUGCUACUAGUUGUACUUGCUUGGUUGGUUAGUGGCGAACAGCAGGAAACCACUACUCGCCUACUACUACAAACAAAACGCUUGAUCCGAGCCGCCGCCGCCGCCGCUGCUCCUCCGUGUACCCGUUUGGUCGUGUCUAAUCUCCAUGCCGGAACCCCAAAAUCUGUGGAGAGCCACACACUUUCUCUAUACCUAUCACAACCUACCCCCGUUCAUGAACUUCUUCACCUCGUCGUACAGCACGAGUAUGGCGGCCGCGCCGGUGCUCCGGAACAUGUUCGACAGCGCGCCCCGGUAGAACGACUUGACCCCCUCCGCCUUGUAGAUCUUCCUCCAACAGUCGAGGGUGCCGCUGUACAUCUGCACCUCCAUCCCUGA
This 387-nucleotide ribosomal RNA is filed under the name Triticum aestivum (bread wheat). RNAcentral's name for it is "partial small subunit ribosomal RNA". Lineage: Eukaryota; Viridiplantae; Streptophyta; Magnoliopsida; Poales; Poaceae. The record is from RNAcentral.